CAGCAGCCGCGGUAAUACGAAGGGUGCAAGCGUUACUCGGAAUUACUGGGCGUAAGGCGUGUGUAGGUGGUUGUUUAAGUCUGUCGUGAAAGCCCUGGGCUCAACCUGGGAAUUGCGAUGGAUACUGGGCGACUAGAGUGCGGUAGAGGAUAGUGGAAUUUCCGGUGUAGCAGUGAAAUGCGUAGAGAUCGGAAGGAACAUCUGUGGCGAAGGCGACUAUCUGGGCCAACACUGACACUGAGACACGAAAGCGUGGGGAGCAAACAGGAUUAGAUACCCGAGUAGUCCCUGUCUCUUAUAC
This 301-nucleotide ribosomal RNA is filed under the name uncultured bacterium. Its description in RNAcentral is "partial 16S ribosomal RNA". It matches the Rfam family "Bacterial small subunit ribosomal RNA", at positions 509 to 807 of the family's 1533-position model. The record is from RNAcentral.